Molecule: ribosomal RNA, 253 nt
Filed under: uncultured bacterium
Lineage: Bacteria
Description: partial 16S ribosomal RNA
Rfam family: Bacterial small subunit ribosomal RNA
Source: RNAcentral
UACGGAGGGGGUUAGCGUUGUUCGGAAUUACUGGGCGUAAAGCGCACGAAGGCGGACUAUUAAGUCAGGGGUUAAAUCCCGGGGCUCAACCCCGGAUCUGCCCUUGAUACUGGCAGUCUAGAGUUCGUGAGAGGUGAGCGGAAUUCCUAGUGCAGAGGUGAAAUUCGUAGAUAUUCGGAGGAAUACCAGUGGCGAAGGCGGCUCACUGGCUCGAUCCUGGAGCUGAGGCGCGAAAGUGUGGGGAGUAGACAGG